RNAcentral lists this ribosomal RNA (520 nucleotides) under uncultured Glomus. RNAcentral's name for it is "SSU rRNA". It matches the Rfam family "Eukaryotic small subunit ribosomal RNA", at positions 569 to 1091 of the family's 1831-position model. Lineage: Eukaryota; Fungi; Glomeromycota; Glomeromycetes; Glomerales; Glomeraceae. The record is from RNAcentral.
AGCAGCCGCGGUAAUUCCAGCUCCAAUAGCGUAUAUUAAAGUUGUUGCAGUUAAAAGCUCGUAGCUGAAUUUCGGGGUUAGUAGGUUGGUCAUGCCUCUGGUAUGUACUGGUCUCACUGAUUCCUCCUUCCUGAUGAGCCGUAAUGCCAUUAAUUUGGUGUUGCGGGGAAUUUGGACUGUUACUUUGAAAAAAUUAGAGUGUUUAAAGCAGGCUUUAGCUUGAAUACAUUAGCAUGGAAUAAUGAAAUAGGACGUUUGAUCCUAUUUUGUUGGUUUCUAGGAUUGACGUAAUGAUUAAUAGGGAUAGUUGGGGGCAUUAGUAUUCAAUUGUCAGAGGUGAAAUUCUUGGAUUUAUUGAAGACUAACUACUGCGAAAGCAUUUGCCAAGGAUGUUUUCAUUAAUCAAGAACGAAAGUUAGGGGAUCGAAGACGAUCAGAUACCGUCGUAGUCUUAACCAUAAACUAUGCCGACUAGGGAUCGGAUGAUGUUAAUUUUUUAAUGACUCAUUCGGCGCCUUAC